This is a long non-coding RNA of Polypterus senegalus (gray bichir), 354 nucleotides long. RefSeq lists it as uncharacterized. The transcript is spliced from 3 exons. The record is from RefSeq and is a predicted model, not a curated record. Lineage: Eukaryota; Metazoa; Chordata; Cladistia; Polypteriformes; Polypteridae.
UUAUGAGAUUUUGAGGCUACCUGAUUUUUGUAUUUAUGCAAAUAUCUGAAAAAAAGCUAUGUGGAUUUACUUUCUAUUUUUGCUCUUAAUAGCUAAGAAAUACCCUGGCAUUGUUGAAGAAAAAAAUCCUUCAGAGAAAAAAAAUCAUAUACAACACCAUUGAGCGCUCUGUUCAACGUGGAUUGGAGCCUGUUUAUAAAGAAGCCAGCAAUGAGAAAGGCAUAAACUGCAUUCAAAAAUUUAGAAUGAUGAUUGAAGAUGAAGUGAAACAAACCCAAGGCUACAUGUUCAAAGAGGCCAUGCACAAUGUGCUAACUGAGUUUACUAAACUAAAGGAUGAAGUGAAUGAAACUU